Molecule: non-coding RNA, 546 nt
Filed under: Cladosporium herbarum
Lineage: Eukaryota; Fungi; Ascomycota; Dothideomycetes; Cladosporiales; Cladosporiaceae
Also listed under: 2 other names
Description: eukaryotic LSU rRNA
Rfam family: 5.8S ribosomal RNA (bases 202-355)
Source: RNAcentral
AAGUCGUAACAAGGUCUCCGUAGGUGAACCUGCGGAGGGAUCAUUACAAGAACGCCCGGGCUUCGGCCUGGUUAUUCAUAACCCUUUGUUGUCCGACUCUGUUGCCUCCGGGGCGACCCUGCCUUCGGGCGGGGGCUCCGGGUGGACACUUCAAACUCUUGCGUAACUUUGCAGUCUGAGUAAACUUAAUUAAUAAAUUAAAACUUUUAACAACGGAUCUCUUGGUUCUGGCAUCGAUGAAGAACGCAGCGAAAUGCGAUAAGUAAUGUGAAUUGCAGAAUUCAGUGAAUCAUCGAAUCUUUGAACGCACAUUGCGCCCCCUGGUAUUCCGGGGGGCAUGCCUGUUCGAGCGUCAUUUCACCACUCAAGCCUCGCUUGGUAUUGGGCAACGCGGUCCGCCGCGUGCCUCAAAUCGUCCGGCUGGGUCUUCUGUCCCCUAAGCGUUGUGGAAACUAUUCGCUAAAGGGUGUUCGGGAGGCUACGCCGUAAAACAACCCCAUUUCUAAGGUUGACCUCGGAUCAGGUAGGGAUACCCGCUGAACUUAA